UACAGAGGGUGCAAGCGUUGUUCGGAAUUAUUGGGCGUAAAGGGCGCGUAGGCGGUGCGGUAAGUCUUUUGUGAAAUCUCCGGGCUCAACUCGGAGUCUGCAGGAGAAACUGCCGUGCUUGAGUAUGGGAGAGGUGAGUGGAAUUCCUGAUGUAGCGGUGAAAUGCGUAGAUAUCAGGAGGAACACCUGUGGCGAAAGCGGCUCACUGGACCAUUACUGACGCUGAUGCGCGAAAGCUAGGGGAGCAAACAGG
Molecule: ribosomal RNA, 253 nt
Filed under: uncultured bacterium
Lineage: Bacteria
Description: partial 16S ribosomal RNA
Rfam family: Bacterial small subunit ribosomal RNA
Source: RNAcentral